Molecule: long non-coding RNA, 1613 nt
Organism: Hyla sarda
Lineage: Eukaryota; Metazoa; Chordata; Amphibia; Anura; Hylidae
Exons: 3
Source: RefSeq, a predicted model, not a curated record
AGGAUCAGAAUCCGCUGACAUAGUGAGGAAACGUCUGGGCAUCAAGUUCUGCAGAGAGAACAUUUAGCUGGAACAAGUCCGGUGGCUCCUCUUCCUGCGCACAAUUCAGCGAGACAGUGUCUGCUCAGAUCCAAGUCUGCACAGUCAUGCAGCAUACAAACUACAUAAGCCAUCACAAACCACCCAGAAACACCAGCUUUACAUUUUCAUGUUAAACUGCAGUUAUUUCACUUAAAUUUACAUACCUAUGUCAUGCUUGUCUGCUAACAAAUAUAUUCAGCAAAAAGCAUUACUUACUAAACAUAAGUCUGACCAGGGAAUCCAUUCUGAAUGUGUUUAAGUGCAAAUUUAGGGUGAUUCCACAAGCAUCAGAAUUGUUAUUUUUUUUAGCUUUGUCACAAAUAUCCAGCAAAAUCUGCAGGCACUGAGUGUGAAUCUUAUUCCUUAUACACAGAACAUGAUGAAAACAAUCAUGUGGCUGCAAAUCUGCAGUUGGUCCCUGGAUGAAGAGCAGGACACAGUUCAAAGAAAUCUUGUGAGAAAUGCCGACGACAUAGGAAAGCUGCUUUACCAACCCUCAUUGGCUGUGGAUAGAAUGGUUGUGUCACAACUACGAUUGUUGCUAUGGAAAGUAAGGACGAUGGGGUCUCCAGCGCAUGUCCUUGGAAUGCAGAACUAGCUGUGAGGAAGCUUAACUUGGAUGCCAUAAAUAAGCCAAUGUUUGACACAAAAGAACAGCUUAAUGAAUUGUCUUCCGGAUCAUCUGUCAUUAUAUAUAAAAAUAUUGAGCUUGCAUGUAAUUGAACGUACUUGCAACACAUCACAAUGUAAUAAUCCAUACGGCAAAAUAUGUAUGGCUAGGUUUACUUACUUUCUUAAAGCCUUGGUUUUCACUUCUCUUAAAGAUGGCUGACCAAUCCUAACAUGUAUUCAUGCAUUUAAUGCAUAUUAUGGUUAUGAUUUGCAUGGAAUAAAAAAAAUUGUGAUCAAAAAGUCAGACUAAUGACAAAAUGGUACUGAUAAAACUACAGAUUAUAGCACAAAAAAUUAUCCCUCCAAAUCCUUUCUAAGGGUGGGUUUGCACCACAGGUUUGUCCUCACGUUUUUUUUAUUGGCUUUUUUUAGUCAAAGCCGGACCAAACUGUAUGCAACCAUGUGCUUAAAAAAGAACUAACAUACAAUUUUCAAACCGUAUAUGGUUAAAAAACGUGUGCCCGUUUGCAUGCGGUUUCAUACUGUUUUUAACAACUGCAUUAAAUCCGGUUUUAAGAUUUUUGUUAUUUUUUAAAUAAAGUUUCAAUUGUUCUUUUUAGAAUACUUUAGAAUCAAAUUUAUCAUGUGCAAAGUUAAAAACCGUAUAGGAAAAACCGGAUUGAACCAUAGACCCAUACGAUUCACUACAGGGGGCGUGAUAUGGUCUGUGGCCAGCGUCUGAGGCUCCUCUCGUUACACCUGCUGCCUCCCUGCUAUGGAAAUCCGGGACCGAUGAUCAACUUCAGCCGCCAGCCUCCGUACAAGUGUCAGAGUGUGAGUACUCCGUAUUUUUUCGUUUCUUCUAUGAUUGCUAUAUCUAUCUACAGUGCUUGGACAUACGUAGAGCACCUCCAGACAUC